Long non-coding RNA from Hippopotamus amphibius kiboko, 523 nucleotides. RefSeq lists it as uncharacterized. The record is from RefSeq and is a predicted model, not a curated record. Lineage: Eukaryota; Metazoa; Chordata; Mammalia; Artiodactyla; Hippopotamidae. The transcript is spliced from 3 exons.
CCAGAGAUGUGAACAACAGACAGCAAAAUGGACUCUAGUGGUCUUUACGGAGCAUGGAAGUGGCCUCCACGCUUGACAGAGGAAGAGAAAGAAGUACAGAAGUACAUUCACUCUUACGUAACUGCCCUGCCUGUUGGAAAAAUGGGCCCUCUUGAAGAGAUGGGAAUUUAGCUCCCAGUUAAGACAGCAGAAAUUCCCUUUCAGGAGAGGGGGCUGGCGUGGUCAGAUGGAAGUCCCAGAUUCUACAAUCCAUCAGCUUUCGAAGGGAUUCUACAGAGCUCUCUUGGCAUUAUGGAUGGACAAGAGCCAGGAUGAAGUUGGUUUGAAAAAUAAUUUAGCCAUCUAAGGUGAAGAAAUUAGUUAUCCCAAUAUAACUUUCUAUAUGGAGGGCUUACCUAGUCCCUCUGAAGAGAAAUUUCUGAGAGGAUGGAAAAAGGUAAUGGAAGAGUUAUGACUGAAAUAAGAAGUUGUCAAAGUUUAAUUGAAAGAGUUGACACCAGUAGAUGGUCUUAAUCUGCGAACA